CCUACGGGAGGCAGCAGUGGGGAAUAUUGGGCAAUGGAGGCAACUCUGACCCAGCAACGUCGCGUGAAUGAUGAAGGUCUUCGGAUUGUAAAGUUCUGUGAUGGGAGAUGAACACAAUGACGGUACCGCAAUAGCAAGCCAAGGCUAACUACGUGCCAGCAGCCGCGGUAAUACGUAGGUGGCAAGCGUUAUCCGGAAUGACUGGGUGUAAAGGGUGCGUAGGUGGUUUGGUAAGUUGGCGGUGAAAUUCCGGGGCUCAACCUCGGCACUACCGCCGAAACGAUUAGACUAGAGGACAGGAGAGGUAAGUGGAAUUCGUGGUGUAGCGGUGGAAUGCGUAGAUAUUAGGAAGAACAUCAAGGGCGAAGGCGACUUACUAGACUGUAACUGACACUGAGGCACGAAAGCGUGGGGAGCAAACAGGAUUAGAUACCCGUGUAGUC
This 443-nucleotide ribosomal RNA is filed under the name uncultured bacterium. Its description in RNAcentral is "partial 16S ribosomal RNA". It matches the Rfam family "Bacterial small subunit ribosomal RNA", at positions 338 to 795 of the family's 1533-position model. The record is from RNAcentral.